Molecule: small nuclear RNA, 116 nt
Organism: Rana temporaria (common frog)
Lineage: Eukaryota; Metazoa; Chordata; Amphibia; Anura; Ranidae
Product: U5 spliceosomal RNA
Exons: 1
Source: RefSeq, a predicted model, not a curated record
AUACUAUGGUUUCUCUUUAGAAUUACUAAAUCUUUUGUAUUUUAUUAAAGAUUUAUGUGGAGAGAAACAACUAUGAGUUUUGGUGAAUUUUUUUGAUGCCUGGCUAAUGCCGGGCC